Molecule: ribosomal RNA, 2183 nt
Filed under: Vibrio vulnificus
Lineage: Bacteria; Pseudomonadati; Pseudomonadota; Gammaproteobacteria; Vibrionales; Vibrionaceae
Description: partial 23S ribosomal RNA
Rfam family: Bacterial large subunit ribosomal RNA
Source: RNAcentral
GGUUAAGUGACUAAGCGUACACGGUGGAUGCCUUGGCAGUCAGAGGCGAUGAAGGACGUAGUAACUUGCGAUAAGCGUAGAUGAGGCAGUAACAGCCACUUGAGUCUACGAUUUCCGAAUGGGGAAACCCACUGGCAUAAGCCAGUAUCAUUGAGUGAAUACAUAGCUCAAUGAAGCGAACCGGGAGAACUGAAACAUCUAAGUACCCCGAGGAAAAGAAAUCAACCGAGAUUCCGAAAGUAGCGGCGAGCGAAAUUGGAUUAGCCCUUAAGCUUUACAUGUGUUAGACGAACGGUCUGGAAAGUCCGACGAUACAGGGUGAUAGUCCCGUAGUUGUAGAUGCAUGUUCAGUGAAAUCGAGUAGGGCGGGACACGUGUUAUCCUGUCUGAAUAUGGGGGGACCAUCCUCCAAGGCUAAAUACUCCUGACUGACCGAUAGUGAACCAGUACCGUGAGGGAAAGGCGAAAAGAACCCCUGUGAGGGGAGUGAAAUAGAACCUGAAACCGUGUACGUACAAGCAGUAGGAGCACCUUCGUGGUGUGACUGCGUACCUUUUGUAUAAUGGGUCAGCGACUUAUAUUCAGUGGCAAGGUUAACCAUCUAGGGGAGCCGUAGGGAAACCGAGUCUUAACUGGGCGCCAUAGUCUCUGGAUAUAGACCCGAAACCGAGUGAUCUAGCCAUGGGCAGGUUGAAGGUUGAGUAACAUCAACUGGAGGACCGAACCGACUAAUGUUGAAAAAUUAGCGGAUGACUUGUGGCUAGGGGUGAAAGGCCAAUCAAACUCGGAGAUAGCUGGUUCUCCCCGAAAGCUAUUUAGGUAGCGCCUCGGACGAAUACUACUGGGGGUAGAGCACUGUUAAGGCUAGGGGGUCAUCCCGACUUACCAACCCUUUGCAAACUCCGAAUACCAGUAAGUACUAUCCGGGAGACACACGGCGGGUGCUAACGUCCGUCGUGGAGAGGGAAACAACCCAGACCGCCAGCUAAGGUCCCAAAUUACAGCUAAGUGGGAAACGAUGUGGGAAGGCUUAGACAGCUAGGAUGUUGGCUUAGAAGCAGCCAUCAUUUAAAGAAAGCGUAAUAGCUCACUAGUCGAGUCGGCCUGCGCGGAAGAUGUAACGGGGCUAAGUUGUAAACCGAAGCUGCGGCAAUGUUCUUUGAACAUUGGGUAGGGGAGCGUUCUGUAAGCCGUUGAAGGUGUGUUGUAAAGCAUGCUGGAGGUAUCAGAAGUGCGAAUGCUGACAUGAGUAACGACAAGGGGGGUGAAAAACCUCCCCGCCGGAAGACCAAGGGUUCCUGUCCAACGUUAAUCGGGGCAGGGUAAGUCGACCCCUAAGGCGAGGCCGAAAGGCGUAGUCGAUGGGAAACGGGUUAAUAUUCCCGUACUUCUUACAAUUGCGAUGGGGGGACGGAGAAGGCUAGGUGGGCCUGGCGACGGUUGUCCAGGUUCAAGUGCGUAGGCUGAGUGUUUAGGUAAAUCCGGACACUCUUAAGGCUGAGACACGACGUCGAGCUACUACGGUAGUGAAGUCAUUGAUGCCAUGCUUCCAGGAAAAGCCUCUAAGCUUCAGAUUGUAAGGAAUCGUACCCCAAACCGACACAGGUGGUCGGGUAGAGAAUACCAAGGCGCUUGAGAGAACUCGGGUGAAGGAACUAGGCAAAAUGGUACCGUAACUUCGGGAGAAGGUACGCUCUUGAUGGUGAAGUCCCUUGCGGAUGGAGCUGACGAGAGUCGCAGAUACCAGGUGGCUGCAACUGUUUAUUAAAAACACAGCACUGUGCAAAAUCGUAAGAUGACGUAUACGGUGUGACGCCUGCCCGGUGCCGGAAGGUUAAUUGAUGGGGUUAGCGUAAGCGAAGCUCUUGAUCGAAGCCCCGGUAAACGGCGGCCGUAACUAUAACGGUCCUAAGGUAGCGAAAUUCCUUGUCGGGUAAGUUCCGACCUGCACGAAUGGCGUAAUGAUGGCCACGCUGUCUCCACCCGAGACUCAGUGAAAUUGAAAUCGCUGUGAAGAUGCAGUGUACCCGCGGCUAGACGGAAAGACCCCGUGAACCUUUACUACAGCUUGGCACUGAACAUUGAACCUACAUGUGUAGGAUAGGUGGGAGGCUUUGAAGACGUGACGCCAGUUGCGUUGGAGCCGUCCUUGAAAUACCACCCUUGUAUGUUUGAUGUUCUAA